UGUUGAUGAUGAUAAAUCCAAAGGCUUGUUUCUCAAAACAUUCGCAGUGGCCGCCUAAGAGCUUUCGCCUCCGCCAGGCUUGAGAGCUUGUGCUGCUUUAUCCUUCCUUGGAUGUCUGAAACU
This 123-nucleotide small nucleolar RNA is filed under the name Manihot esculenta (cassava). RNAcentral's name for it is "Small nucleolar RNA SNORD14". It matches the Rfam family "Small nucleolar RNA SNORD14". Rfam says of the family: U14 small nucleolar RNA (U14 snoRNA) is required for early cleavages of eukaryotic precursor rRNAs. Lineage: Eukaryota; Viridiplantae; Streptophyta; Magnoliopsida; Malpighiales; Euphorbiaceae. The record is from Rfam by way of RNAcentral.